AUGAACGCUGGCGGCGUGCUUAACACAUGCAAGUCGAACGGUGAAGGCGGAGCUUGCUCUGCUGGAUCAGUGGCGAACGGGUGAGUAACACGUGAGCAAUCUGCCCCUGACUCUGGGAUAAGCGCUGGAAACGGCGUCUAAUACUGGAUACGAGCUGCGAAGGCAUCUUCAGCAGCUGGAAAGAAUUUCGGUCAGGGAUGAGCUCGCGGCCUAUCAGCUUGUUGGUGAGGUAAUGGCUCACCAAGGCGUCGACGGGUAGCCGGCCUGAGAGGGUGACCGGCCACACUGGUACUGAGACACGGCCCAGACUCCUACGGGAGGCAGCAGUGGGAAAUAUUGCACAAUGGGCGAAAGCCUGAUGCAGCAACGCCGCGUGAGGGACGACGGCCUUCGGGUUGUAAACCUCUUUUAGCAGGGAAGAAGCGAAAGUGACGGUACCUGCAGAAAAAGCGCCGGCUAACUACGUG
Molecule: ribosomal RNA, 467 nt
Filed under: uncultured bacterium
Lineage: Bacteria
Description: partial 16S ribosomal RNA
Rfam family: Bacterial small subunit ribosomal RNA
Source: RNAcentral